RNAcentral lists this small RNA (629 nucleotides) under Histoplasma capsulatum. RNAcentral's name for it is "hypothetical RNA". Lineage: Eukaryota; Fungi; Ascomycota; Eurotiomycetes; Onygenales; Ajellomycetaceae. The record is from RNAcentral. RNAcentral also lists the same sequence under 1 other name.
ACCACUGCUAAUCUAUACUGCUGCCAAUCUAUCUAUCGCUGCCAAUCUACCUACCACUGCCAAUCUAUCUACCACUGCUAAUCUAUCUAUCGCUGCUAAUCUAUUGCUACUAAUCUAUCGCUGCUAAUCUAUCGCUGCUAAUCUAUCGCUGCUAAUCUAUUGCUGCUAAUCUAUUGCUGUCAAUCUAUCUACCACUGCCAACCUACCUACUGCUGCCAAUCUAUCUAUCGCUGCUAAUCUAUCGCUGCUAAUCUAUUGCUGCCAACCUACCUACUGCUGCCAACCUACCUACCACUGCCAAUCUAUCUACCACUGCCAAUCUAUCUACCACUGCUAAUCUAUCACCGCUGCCAAUCUAUAUAGGGUAAAUCAUGGUCCCAUUUGAUUCCAUUUUGUAAAAAUGAGACCAAAUGAGAUCAGAAUCACUAAUUUAUUAGUAAAACAUAAUCUGAGACUAGAUUUAUAAUAUAAACAGUGUAAAGUGACUAAUUUACUAAACACUAUAUGGAAUCAGAACUAAGAUAUCUAAUAAUGAAACUGAGGAAAAAUUUGGUCUCAGUUUUAUAUAUGAUCACAUGAUCAGUCUAUUUCUAUAUAAUUAUAAUUUGAAGAUUCUGAACUUUUCUGAG